Molecule: ribosomal RNA, 352 nt
Filed under: uncultured archaeon
Lineage: Archaea
Description: bacterial SSU rRNA
Rfam family: Archaeal small subunit ribosomal RNA
Source: RNAcentral
ACACCGGCGGCUCGAAGUGGUAACCGUUAUUAUUGGGUCUAAAGGGUCUGUAGCCGGCCGGAUAAGUCUCUUGAGAAAUCUGGCAGCUUAACUGUCAGGCUUUCAGGAGAUACUGUCUGGCUCGAGGCCGGGAGAGGUGAGAGGUACUUCAGGGGUAGGGGUGAAAUCUUGUAAUCCUUGAAGGACCACCAGUGGCGAAGGCGUCUCACCAGAACGGACCUGACGGCAAGGGACGAAAGCUAGGGGCACGAACCGGAUUAGAUACCCGGGUAGUCCUAGCCGUAAACGAUACUCGCUAGGUGUCGGCCACGGUGCGACCGUUGUCGGUGCCGUAGGGAAGCCGUGAAGCGAG